Panicum virgatum (switchgrass) is the source of this 353-nucleotide long non-coding RNA. RefSeq lists it as uncharacterized. Lineage: Eukaryota; Viridiplantae; Streptophyta; Magnoliopsida; Poales; Poaceae. The record is from RefSeq and is a predicted model, not a curated record. The transcript is spliced from 2 exons.
CACCACCAGGGGUGGUAAACCCGCCACUUCCGCAGGCAGUUGUAGCAUUGCCUUAUUUGGAUUAUCACGGCUACCUACCAUAUGGAGCUCCACAGUUGCAAUAUCGCCCACCUACGUACGUGUAUUUGCCACCAACAGACGAGCCGUAUGAGGGACCACCGGGAGAGAGAUUUGAGGACUGAAGAAUGCAGAGAAUAUGCUACAUGGAUUAUUCUGGACUAUGUCUUUGCCUCUGUUGUAUCUUUGGAUUGUAAUAAUUCUAAGGGACUUUGGAUGUAUUGCGUUCUAUGUGUGGACUUUGGACAUGAGUUAUGUGUAAUAAUUCUAAUGGACUUUGGAUGUAUUACGUUGUA